ACUGGUUUAGGGCCUGACCUCGCUGCCGUUGGUGGAGCGGAUGGGCGCCCUGAGCCGCUUGGAUCUGGCUGGGAACGAACUGCGGGCGCUGCCGGCGCUGGGGGCGCUGCGGAGGCUGCGGGUGAGAAACCAGUAUGGACCAGUACAAACCAGUAUAGACCAGUAUAGACCAGUACAGACCAGUACAGGCCAGUACAGGCCAGUACAGGCCAGUAACCAACCCAGUUACACCAGUAACGCACCCCAGUUUGUCCCAGUAACUCCCAGUCCAUCCCAGUUUGUCCCAGUUUGAUCCCAGUCCCUCCCAGUAUAAACCAGUCCCAUCCCAGUCCAUCCCAGUCCCUCCCAGUCCCUCCCAGUCCCUCCCAGUUUGAUCCCAGUCCCUCCCAGUCCCUCCCAGUCCAUCCCAGUACGUCCCAGUCUGUCCCAGUACGUCCCAGUUUGCAGGAGCUGGAUCUCUCCGGGAACCACGUGACCGAGGUGGGCGUGGCCUCGCCCCUCCCCCGCCUGCGGCUGCUGCGGCUGGACCGGAACCGUACGGGAACCUACUGGUUUAUACUGGUUUAUACUGGUUUAUACUGGUUUAUACUGGUUUGGGCUGGGAAUGGGGCUGGGGGCACUGGGAUAAACUGGGA
This 635-nucleotide long non-coding RNA is filed under the name Junco hyemalis (dark-eyed junco). RNAcentral's name for it is "lncRNA (ENSJHYG00000001929.1)". Lineage: Eukaryota; Metazoa; Chordata; Aves; Passeriformes; Passerellidae. The record is from RNAcentral.